Molecule: long non-coding RNA, 632 nt
Filed under: Homo sapiens (human)
Lineage: Eukaryota; Metazoa; Chordata; Mammalia; Primates; Hominidae
Description: HSALNT0303111
Source: RNAcentral
UUUUGUUAUUCAUGAUAAGCCAUUUUCAAACAUACCUGAGUUAUAUAAUGCUAAUAAUGCUAAUAAGGUAACUCUUGGUGAGCCUCAAGAUAAUCUCGGAAUGGGGGCUGGUUGCUAGAGGAACCAAUCACUUGAUUAGAGAAUUGGAAUUUUCAGUCCCUCACCCUGACUUCUGGAGAGGGAGAGGGAUGGAGAUUGAAUUCAAUCACCAAUGGCCAAUGAUUUAAUCAACCAUGCCUGUGUCAUGGAACACAGGAAACCUAAACAACAUAAAAAUCCUUAACAACAGGGUUUGGUGAGCUUCUGGAUUGGUGAACACAUUGAGGUGGUAGAAGGCUAGAGUUCAGGAGAUGACAUGGGAAGACAUGGAAGCUUUGUGUCCCUUCCCAUAUACCUUGCUCUCUGCAUCUCUUCCAUUUGGCUCCUCCUGAGUUUGAUUAUUGGCGUGCCUCUCAACAUCCAGCAGAAUGUGGGAAUAUUGCUGAGUUGAGUAAAUAUUUCCUUCCAUAAAGGUAAAUAAGCAUCUCAAGAGCAAGUUUCUACAUUUUGUAUUUCCCUGUUUUAUUUCUGUAAAAUUGUGCAACCAAGAAUUAUGACCUACUGAUAUUAGAAUAAAAUUUGCAGAAGUUUGA